AGCCGCUAGCCUUCAGAAGCCAAAGCCACUAGCACUUGGCGUGAGCGAUCCUGAACUUGGCGCAUCCACUUGGGACAAAAGAACCUUGGAAAAGAUGCAUACUCCACUGAGAAUGCCAGUUAGCCCCUUAGGCAGCAGCAUUAUUCUCUUGAGAUUUUCCUUUCCAUUUUCUUCCAUUUUCAUCCAUUUUCAUCCUCCUGCUGACACAUCUUGAUAUCAAGGCAGGAACUGAAAGAGGCAACCCAAGCCUCGUCGCGAGCAAAGCCAAGAUCUCUUGAUCUUUUCAAUUGGUCAUCUUUUACGAUUCUCUUUGCUGGCUUCAAUAACUUCCUUGACUCUCCUGCAGAUUAUGGUCAAUCAAACUCAUGUUAGAAUCCAGGAUUGAAGCAGAUUUCCG
RNAcentral lists this small RNA (397 nucleotides) under Histoplasma capsulatum. RNAcentral describes it as "hypothetical RNA". The record is from RNAcentral. RNAcentral also lists the same sequence under 1 other name. Lineage: Eukaryota; Fungi; Ascomycota; Eurotiomycetes; Onygenales; Ajellomycetaceae.